UUUCUGUGUAAAACAUAAGGCUCUAUUUAUAGCCUUAAAGAAGGUGGUUGGUGGUUGAAUUCUUCAUUCAACAAUGGAGGCUUCAACAAUGGUGGCUUCUAGAAUGGGUUGGUGGCUUCAACAAUGGUGGGCUUCUAGAAUUGGUAGUUGGCAGCAGCUGAACUUAUCAAUUCUCCCCCUUCAGCUGCAUUCCAACGCAGCUACUAUUUGAAAGUUAUUCCAACUAUGUCUCUGCACAGCUCUAACUUUUCUUGAGUGACCACCUUUGUUAACAUGUCUGCUGGAUUCUCCUUCGUAUGGAUCUUCACUAGUUUCAACAGUUGUUGAUUCA
Molecule: non-coding RNA, 331 nt
Organism: Nicotiana tabacum (common tobacco)
Lineage: Eukaryota; Viridiplantae; Streptophyta; Magnoliopsida; Solanales; Solanaceae
Source: RefSeq, a predicted model, not a curated record